RNAcentral lists this transfer RNA (64 nucleotides) under Cryptorhynchinae sp. KM-2015. Its description in RNAcentral is "tRNA-Val". Lineage: Eukaryota; Metazoa; Arthropoda; Insecta; Coleoptera; Curculionidae. The record is from RNAcentral.
CAGACUGAAGCUUUAUAUGAAGCAUUUUAUUUACAUUAAAAAGAUUAUUUUUAAUACAGUUUGA